AGGGUUCGAUCAUGGCUCAGAACGUACGCUGGCGGCACGCCUAACACAUGCAAGUCGAACGAAGUAGCAAUACUUAGUGGCAGACGGGUGAGUAACAUGUAGGUAUCUACCCUUUGGCCUGGAAUAACACGAGGAAACUUGUGCUAAUACCGGAUAAGUCUUUACGGAGAAAGCUUUAUGCACCAUUGGAUGAGCCUGCACUUGAUUAGUUUGUUGGUGGGGUAAUGGCCUACCAAGACUGUGAUCAAUAGCUGAUUUGAGAGGAUGAUCAGCCACAUUGGGACUGAGACACGGCCCAAACUCCUACGGGAGGCAGCAGUGGGGAAUCUUGCACAAUGGAGGAAACUCUGAUGCAGCGAUGCCGCGUGAGUGAAGAAGGCCUUUGGGUUGUAAAGCUCUUUCGUCGGGGAAGAAAAUGACUGUACCCGAAUAAGAAGGUCCGGCUAACUUCGUGCCAGCAGCCGCGGUAAUAC
RNAcentral lists this ribosomal RNA (473 nucleotides) under uncultured bacterium. Its description in RNAcentral is "bacterial SSU rRNA". It matches the Rfam family "Bacterial small subunit ribosomal RNA", at positions 8 to 526 of the family's 1533-position model. The record is from RNAcentral.